Molecule: long non-coding RNA, 1022 nt
Filed under: Bos taurus (domestic cattle)
Lineage: Eukaryota; Metazoa; Chordata; Mammalia; Artiodactyla; Bovidae
Description: long non-coding RNA NONBTAT015980
Source: RNAcentral
AUGCACAUGCUCAGUAAACUGGUUACUUUGAGUACUCUGUACUGUUUGUGUAAUCCUUUCUUCUUAGGGGUCAGAAUACUAGAAAGGAAAUAGAUCUGACUAGUCACCGAUAGAUGAAGUCAAUUACAAGCACAAAAAGAGAGAACUGAUUUAUAUAUACUUUGACUGACAUACAAGACUUAUUUAUAGUAUUUUUUGAUCACCUGUUGUACUGAAACACUAAUUUUUGCAAACAAGUAGGAUAAGAUAUUUGACAAAAGUGAAUACGAUAACAUUUGUGUCAAAAUGACAUGAAGCGAAGCGAAAGUCACUCAGUGACAUAGCUUGAUGAAAAGAUAGGGUUCAACAUUUUGGCCCAAAUGUUUGUUUUUCACUGGAUUCUGAAUAUAGCAAAUUCAAAAGUACCCUUUUUGGACUUUCUUAAUAAAGCACCAUGUAAAAAGAAACUGCAUUUUAAGUCAGACAGUAAAUGGUUUUAAUUUACAGCAAAUGAAGCAGUUUUAUUAGCACAUUACAGUAUUUCCAAAUCGACUUCUGUAUUAUACUUUGAUAGCUUUCCUUCAGAAAACUCUGAGGGUGUAUUUGCAAUAAUAAUGAAGCCAGCAUUUAGUACCAGCACAUGGUUCACAUGCAAAUAAUACUUUCCCGAUUUCCAAGUUACACUACUAUCUUAUUGCUAUGAUUCCUACACCCCCACCAGCAGAAUUCUUCUAGGGUGGAGGAACUAAUCAGCUUGUUCUGCAUUUCCAAAGCCAGCUUGUGAAUCCUGGAGGAAAGGAGUUAGUUCAUUUACUAUUCUGUUUGGGACAGAAGUGAUUCCACUUUUCCACUUGGACAUACUAUUUAAAGGAUUUUUCUUCUUAAAAUUCUUGGAACACCUAAGAGAUUUAAGGGCAUGUUGGUUUUGUUUUGUUUGCUCCGUUUGUAAUCCAUGUGCAAAUAAAACUGCUUCUCUCUUACACUGCUUGAACUAGAAAAAGUAAGGUGUUUAGUGUAGGUUACUGCUAACUAAUAAGCACAAA